AGAAUCAACGCUGGCGGCGUGCCUAACACAUGCAAGUCGAACGAGAAAGUGGAGCAAUCCAUGAGUAAAGUGGCGCACGGGUGAGUAACACGUGACUAACCUACCCUUGAGUGGGGGAUAACCUAGGGAAACCUGGGCUAAUACCGCAUAAUACCUUCGGGUCAAAGGAGCAAUUCGCUUAAGGAGGGGGUCGCGGCCGAUUAGUUAGUUGGCGGGGUAAUGGCCCACCAAGACUGUGAUCGGUAUCCGGCCUGAGAGGGCGCACGGACACACUGGAACUGAAACACGGUCCAGACUCCUACGGGAGGCAGCAGUGGGGAAUUUUGCGCAAUGGGGGAAACCCUGACGCAGCAACGCCGCGUGGAGGAUGAAAGUCCCUUGGGACGUAAAACUCCUUUCGAUCGGGACAUUAUGACGGUACCGGAAGAAGAAGCCCCGGCUAACUUCGUGCCAAGCAGCCGC
RNAcentral lists this ribosomal RNA (462 nucleotides) under uncultured bacterium. Its description in RNAcentral is "SSU rRNA". It matches the Rfam family "Bacterial small subunit ribosomal RNA", at positions 26 to 518 of the family's 1533-position model. The record is from RNAcentral.